RNAcentral lists this long non-coding RNA (456 nucleotides) under Homo sapiens (human). RNAcentral describes it as "HSALNT0043845". The record is from RNAcentral. Lineage: Eukaryota; Metazoa; Chordata; Mammalia; Primates; Hominidae.
AACAAUGUUACAGCUUUCAAGCUCAGAAAUUGCUGGCACAUAUAUACUUUCAUAACCAGGGUAGGUAAGUUCCAACAUAAAAUGAUCACAUGGUAAUUUUUCAGAGAAAUGGAAAUGUAAAGGAGAAGGCCUGCCAGUUCCUACGAAUGAGAAAUGAUCUUCCACCAUCACUAAGCACACUUACGGUUAACAUCGCGAACAUCAGCUGACACACGUUGAAGCUCCAUGAACAUCCGGAGAGCAGCUGUGAUCAUGGCAUCAACGUCGAGAGAAAAGUCAUCAAAAUGAAUGUCAUCGAUGGCAAGUUCUGACACCAGAGGGAUGUUGGCUGCCUAGAAAAGCAAAAGACAUAAGUCAAGCCAAGUUCACCAGCUUUCCCAAACCCCCAUCCUGCUCUCCUCCCCUGCUUAUCAGAAGUGCCACAUAAAUCAGGCCUGACCUGCACUUACACCCUGA